GACGAACGCUGGCGGCGUGCCUAACACAUGCAAGUGGAGCGACGAACCAGGCUUCGGCCUGGGGCAAAGCCGCGAACGGGUGAGUAACACGUGGGUAACCUGCCCCGAUGAUUGGGACAACCCGAGGAAACUCGGGCUAAUACCGAAUGUGCCCUACAGCCUCAAGGCUGGUGGGGAAAGGAAGCUUCGGCCUCCGCAUCGGGAUGGGCCCGCGGCCCAUUAGCUUGUUGGUGAGGUAACGGCUCACCAAGGCUACGAUGGGUAGCUGGUCUGAGAGGACGAUCAGCCACACUGGGACUGAGACACGGCCCAGACUCCUACGGGAGGCAGCAGUGGGGAAUCUUGCGCAAUGCGCGAAAGCGUGACGCAGCAACGCCGCGUGGGGAAGACGGCCU
Molecule: ribosomal RNA, 395 nt
Filed under: uncultured bacterium
Lineage: Bacteria
Description: bacterial SSU rRNA
Rfam family: Bacterial small subunit ribosomal RNA
Source: RNAcentral